UGGCUCAGUGAUUAAGAGCACUUGACUGCUCUUCCAGAGGACCUGGGUUUGAUUCCCAG
Molecule: transfer RNA, 59 nt
Filed under: Mesocricetus auratus (golden hamster)
Lineage: Eukaryota; Metazoa; Chordata; Mammalia; Rodentia; Cricetidae
Source: Rfam by way of RNAcentral